Oncorhynchus tshawytscha (Chinook salmon) is the source of this 359-nucleotide long non-coding RNA. The record is from Ensembl. Lineage: Eukaryota; Metazoa; Chordata; Actinopteri; Salmoniformes; Salmonidae.
GGGGUUAACACCAGUGGUAUAUCUGAGUGUUGAUUCUAGUGGGGUUAACACCAGUGGUAUAUCUGAGUGUUGAUUCUAGUGGGGUUAACACCAGUGGUAUAUCUGAGUGUUGAUUAAGAUGGCUUUAUAUAUAGUUAUAAAUCCGCGAAAGGCUUUGCUAUACUAUUUUACCAUAUAUACCACCAUCCAAAGUGGAGAGCUCCAUGAUUGAAGCUCUGUAGGUUACAGUGGAGUAGACCCUAGUGGGAGGGGGAAUAGGUUACAGUGGAGUAGACCCUAGUGGGAGGGGGAAUAGGUUAUAGUGGAGUAGACCCUAGUGGGAGGGGGAAUAGGUUAUAGUGGAGUAGACCCUAGUGGAA